RNAcentral lists this ribosomal RNA (309 nucleotides) under uncultured eukaryote. Its description in RNAcentral is "partial 18S ribosomal RNA". It matches the Rfam family "Eukaryotic small subunit ribosomal RNA", at positions 1470 to 1796 of the family's 1831-position model. The record is from RNAcentral.
CCCUUAGAUGUUCUGGGCGGCCCGCGCACUACAAUGGCGUGUGCAGCGAGUGCCGAAGUAGAGUUUUCCGAGGUAUUCUUGCAAUGCUCGUUUUGAUGGGGAUAGACCCUUGCAACUGUUGGUUUUGAACGAGGAAUUCCUUGUAAGCAUGGUUUAUCAUCCGACGCUGAAUGCGUCCCUGCCCUUUGUACACACCGCCCGUCGCUCCUACCGAGGAGUCGUCCGGUGAAGUUCGUAGACCUCGUGAUCGCGGAUCACUGGGGGAAGCAAAAUGAACCUCGCGGUUUAGAGGAAGGAGAAGUCGUAACA